UGGAUAUGGGUCCUUAAAAAUUCUACCACUUCUAAGCUCAGAAAUUGCUUUGGCAUUCUCAAAUUGAAGAUUCUUAAGUGGGACAUUAGAUUGAUGACUUGGUCUAGGUGGUUGGGUUGUUUCUGAAAUUUGGUACUGAUUGGCUUGAUAAUUGAUUUGGUUCUCUCCUCAUGGUAGACUCAGCUAACUAUUCUAUUUAUGUUUCUAAUCUAGCG
Molecule: long non-coding RNA, 215 nt
Filed under: Elaeis guineensis (African oil palm)
Lineage: Eukaryota; Viridiplantae; Streptophyta; Magnoliopsida; Arecales; Arecaceae
Description: long non-coding RNA (EGUI_LNC049088)
Source: RNAcentral